Molecule: long non-coding RNA, 1454 nt
Filed under: Phaseolus vulgaris (common bean)
Lineage: Eukaryota; Viridiplantae; Streptophyta; Magnoliopsida; Fabales; Fabaceae
Description: long non-coding RNA (PVUL_LNC001347)
Source: RNAcentral
UCUUAGUAUUUGUGUUGAUCUUUGUGUGUUUAUUAUCGAUCAUGGGUGUUUUUGCUCACGAUGAUGAGAACUCCUCCACAUUGGCUCCAGCAAUAUUGUACAAAGCUCUGACCAAAGAUUCAGACAGAAUCAUCCCAAAGGUUCUUCCUGUCAUCCAGAGCAUUGAAACUAUUGAAGGAAAUGGUGGACCUGGAACCAUCAAGAAGCUAACAGCUACUGAAGGUCAGUGUACAUAAAUAUUAAUAAUGUUAAUUUCUCUUAAAACACGAGUCUUAAUCCUUUUGUCUGUAUGAGUUUGGUUAUUUGAUGUUUAACUUUCUUGGUUAACACUAUAGUUGGUUUUUGAGGUUUCUGAUGUUUUAUUAAUAGUUAGAUGGAGGAUUUUGGCCUAUUUAGAGGAGACUAAGGUUAAGAUUUAUUUUUUUUAAUAAGGAUUUGACCAUCUUGAAGUGGUUCAUAUUUAUUUAUUUUCUUUUAUUGAUAAAAAAAAUUAAUAAUGUUAACUUCUUUUUUGCUAAUAUUUACUUUUAGCAUAUGUUCGUUACAAAUUGAGUGUUGCAGAUCCAUAUCUAUAAGUAUGUGCAAAUCUCAUUUUAUAAAUCAAUUUUAUGGGAUUUAACUAGAUUUAAAAUUUACUCUGUGUUGAAUUUGAGUUAGGUUCUGAAAAGGGUUUGUUUUGAUUAUGCAUACAUACAUGUAAUUCAGAUUGUUUUAUUUAAAAUAAUUAUGAUCAAAGUUACUCUUCUUCACUGUACAUUUAUAUGUUUCUUACUUAGUAACAAAAGAUCAAAGUAAAUUUAACUCUAAACCUAUAGAUAAAACUCAAAAUUAAGUUUUUCUUUUUAGAAACUGAUUUCAAGCUAGCAAAGAAUAAGAAUGUUUUUAAUAGUAAAAUUUAUCAUAUUAAACUUUUUGAAGGGUAAGUUUUUGUAUUAUGAUUAAUGUCUUAAACUUUUAAUUUAUUAAUUUAUAUGAGAUCUGUUAGAAAAUGAGAUAGAUUUUCUGAAAGUUUUGUCGGGUAGACUUUUUAGUUAUUUUUAAGAAGGAUUUUCUUGAAAUAACUCUAUUUAUUUAUUUAUUUUUACUGAUAAAAAAAAAAGUUAGAUUUUAAAGAAAAGUAAGUAAAGAAAAUUAUGAUUUUUUGCAGGUGGCGUAACAGGUUUUGUGCUGCAGAGAAUCGAUGCAGUGGACGAAGCAAACCUGGGAUUCGACUACAGCAUAGUGGGAGGACCAGGGUUGCAUGAAAGUUUGGAGAAAAUCACACUUCAGACGAAGGUGGUGGCUGCUCCUGAUGGUGGCUCCAUCUCCAAGGUCUCUGUCAAAUACCACACCAAAGGCGAUGCACCUCUCUUAGAGGCAGUGCUCGAAGAGUCAAAGGCAAGAGGAACUGGUUUUUUCAAGGCUGUUGAGAGUUACGUGUUGGCAAACCCUGCAGAAUACUAGAUCCAUCUAUG